This is a long non-coding RNA of Dunckerocampus dactyliophorus (ringed pipefish), 3790 nucleotides long. RefSeq lists it as uncharacterized. The transcript has 3 exons. The record is from RefSeq and is a predicted model, not a curated record. Lineage: Eukaryota; Metazoa; Chordata; Actinopteri; Syngnathiformes; Syngnathidae.
CACACCCCUUGAUAACACGUGUGGUCUCUGACCACACUUGAAACGAAGGGGUAGGCGGGGCUACACCACCCGCGGAGAAGAUGGACGGCAGAGAAAGAAAGAAACACAUACAUGAGAAGCUGAGCCAAGUGAAGUCAGCUGCUACAAAAUACAGCAAAGACACAAGGAGAGCGAGGCCAAAACAGGGAGGUUUUUAAACCUUGAAAUGAUGCUUGAUAAAGUGUAUACAUUUGUUGAUAUUGUCAUUUCUAGUUCAUAUGUAUAGUUGCUACAUUUUCAAUUUUUAUAAAUGUUGUUACAGUGCUGGUUAUAAGCUGUUUAUUACAAUUGUUUGUGGUUUUGCAAUAAAUGGCAUAGCCGGUGCAAAUGUGUGCCUUUUAUUUAAAAAAAGGUGUUAUGAGGUAGGCUAUAUAACAUUGAAUCUGCCUAUGUCACAGCCAGCAAGCGGUGAAGGGUGAUGAUGUAAUAAGAAUCAAGUGGUGUCCAAUUUCUGAGUGGCUUCUUCCCCUUGGCCCUAUGUUUUAAGGGGUAAGACGAAGGGGAAGGGCUAAGGGUAGAAUUGCGAUUCAGCCUGAGAGUCCAUCGCUGAUGACAUCAUAUACGUGCGACAGAGCUGACUUCUGGUUCCUGUUCCUACAUAUUAGCAAGCUAAUAGACUGCCAAUAAGGAUGUUUUGUGCUAAAAAGAAGACAUUUGGCAUCACACAGUGUCUUAAUAACAUGACAAGACGUGUGCCAUAUUGUAAGCUAACUGGAAAAUGUACACAAAUCAAGGCAAAAUUUUGCCAAAAACAAAAAACAUGCUAACCACGGCGUACGCUAACCAAGGUUGCACUGUAUUUCUUUAAUAGUUUUGUAUGUAUAAUUUUAUUUCCUGAAGUUUCAAAUAAGACCACUACAAAUCACCACUGUUGUGGACAAUAAUAAUUCAGGUAUUGAUGCAGCAACGCUGUGUUUAACUGCUUUUUUUUUCAACGUAAAAUCCUUUUCUCUGGUUUAGAGGUGCUUGGCUGAAAGAAAUAUUCCACUGGGGGGUACUUCACUAAAAAAGAUUGAAAACCACAGGUCUGAAGAGCAUGACGCCAUCUUCUUGACAUUUUUACGUUAUUUUAUCCAAAAACUAAUGUGAAAAAUAAUAAAGUACUUUCAUAUAUUUUUAAAAUUAAUUUAUAGACACUAGUGGUGAAUUUAAGUCAAUUUUAAUUUGCAGUUGGGACAUAAUUUUAGUAAAAGUUAGUUUUUCUCUAAAAAAAAAAAAGAAGACAAAAAUAAAGAUAAAAAACAGUCCAAUCACUUACAAUGUUGAAUCUCCAAUGUACCUAACAUGCAUGUUUUGUUGCUGUGGGAGCACCUGGAGAAAACCCACGUAAACACGGAGAGAACAUGCACGGGCUGAGAUUCAAACCCAGAAUCUUCUAGCUGUGAGGCAGAUGUGCUAACCAUAGUCCACCAUGCAGCAGUUAUUAUUCCAAAUCAAAGCAUGACGUCUAAGUCGUUUUCAGCUGAAAAAAAAAGAAAAGAAACAAUGCUGUGUAAAAUCCAGAGCAUUGCUGAGUUUAAAAGCUUCCAGACAAAAAAUGUCUGCUCUGAGGUCAAAUGUCAGAUUGUACACGCAUGGUUCAUGUCAAUACAAUUCACACCUGAUCUUUUUCUUCUUUUUAUUCCACAGCAAACCAAAAAUACUUUUGGCACUCACUGGCCACAAGAUGAAGUACAACUAAAUACCUCAUCGCCCUGCGAUUGGCAGUCCAGGGUGUACCCCGCCUCUCACGCGAAAUCAGCUGGGAUAGGCCCCGCAACCCUCGUGAGGACAAGCGGCAUAGAAAAUGGAUGGAUGGACAAAUACCUUAUCAAAAAUCUGCCUAGUCUGCUAUAUAAGCUGCAAUGAACCUCCUGGUCAAGUCGGUGGAGCAGCCAAGACGGGGAGCUGUACUCUCAAGUGGCAUCCGACAGGUCCCAGUUAGGGCAUUUAUGGAUGACUUAACUUCUGCCAAGUGUGGUGGCUGCGAUAUCCAUCGCUUUAAAGACAUUUUAAUGACAGUUGCAGCCGGAAUGCUGUUAUACACUCAACAAAAAUCUAAACGCAACACAUUCGUUUUUGCUCCCAUUUUUCAUGAGCUGAACUCAAAGAUCUAAAACUUUUUCCAUGCACACAAAAAGCCAUCAUUUGCCUCAAAUACCUUAUACGCCCAAUACAGUUAAAAGAAAUGUCCACAGAGACUACGGUUUUGGUACCAAAGCAUGGAACCUAGUAGUACCAUGCCUACAUGACAACUGAAUUUGGUGUCCAUCCCUAAUGAUGAAUGCUCACUAACCUAUGCCAGAAAGGUUUGUGAACUGUAUUUAAGAGAAAUAGGCUGUUUUUGUACUUACAACAAGUUUUAGGUGUUUGAGUUCAGCUCAUGAAAAAUGUCAGCAAAAAGCGUUCUUUAUCAUUUGUUGAGUAUAGAUUUGCCUCAAAAUUGUAUAUUGAUAAUUUGACUCACAAGGGUUUGCACAAUGGCGUGGUUUGUGGCAUUCAUGUAGGAGUUGAGCGGGAAGGCGCACUCGCCCUCGCAGUAGUAUGCUGCGUAUCCUUCAGGGGCGAUGAUCCAGUCCUGGACACAGAGCAAGACUUUCAAUUAGAAAGCAAAAACAGAAGGAUUUGAGUUGCUUCCUGGGUAUGGAGGUGGCCGGGGCUUUGAUUGAGGGUCUCGUACCUGCCACCCGAGGUCUCGGAAGCUGACGUAGAGCUCGUGCUUCUUGCAUGCCUGCUUUUGAUCAGUGCUGCUGUUCUCUGUGCAAGACGAAGGAGAGACAUUUGUCAUCCUCCAACAACAAUUAGGCCCAUUUGACAAAGUGCAGAUCCAAACACAGACAUUUCAACAGUCACUGUCGGAAAUCACCUCCAGAUCCAGCAGCGCUUUGCUAACGGGCCACCCAACUCAGAUGUCACACUGCGGCAGCUUUGAAUUUCAUCUGGCCCAAACAUAUGUGCACACUGUUUGUGUUUACCGCACUCAUGUUGGAGAAUAAUAGUUUACUUUCUAAUCUUCCCUCGUUCUGGUGACCUCCGCAGCCCCGCUGCGCAUAUCUGCCCAAGAGGGGUCCACAUUGUCAGUGAUCACGAGCGACUGGUUCUCAUCAUCCACUUAAGAUGCCGCUGGUCUAAAAAGUUCCACACAGGCCCAUGUGUUUGUGGCCCCGGUUGCCCCGCAGCACACCGCAGAUGUGCUCCGCCAUAAAACCCUUUUACCUCCUCACAGGGAACAUGGGCCCAACUGCUCUUGUAAUGCUUGUGUAAAUAAACAAAGGCGGCCGAGGGAUACUCAAAGCUCUGGCAUUACGCUCUAAUGUUUCAACAGUUCGUAUAAACACGGACUGCUCUCACCUCCAAUGAAAGGUCAUGUAAUAUGGCCUGCAUGUUCUGUUGGGCUGCGAUCGUACAAUUAUUUGUUAUGCGUAACAUGGCUGUUAUGAUGUCAUUUUCUUAAAAUGUGGGGAAUAACAAUCCAAGUUUAGAUUCAUACACAGACAAACAGGCAGGUUCCUGGGAGGCUGCCUGGCAGCUGUACUGGUGAGAAUGCACCUUGCCAAGCUUUAGUGGUGGCAAGUCAAACAAUGGAGUGAACCAAUCAGCUUCCUUUUUCAUGGGUGUGGUUUGGGAUUCCAAGAGAUUUUAAGUAAUUAUACCACGCUCUCCGAACCUGUUGGCUAAAAACCUGAGAAGGGAGUCAAAUUUGGAUGUGAUGUGCACGACGCAGAGGAUGAUGGUGUGAGAAAACAGGGACUCCGAGGAUUUUGAAGCAAAG